UGGGGAAUAUUGCACAAUGGGGGGAAAACCCCGUGAUGCAGCGACGCCGCGUGAGCGAAGAAGUAUUUCGGUAUGUAAAGCUCUAUCAGCAGGGAAGAAAUUGACGGUACCUGAGUAAGAAGCUCCGGCUAAAUACGUGCC
RNAcentral lists this ribosomal RNA (141 nucleotides) under uncultured bacterium. RNAcentral's name for it is "partial 16S ribosomal RNA". It matches the Rfam family "Bacterial small subunit ribosomal RNA", at positions 355 to 509 of the family's 1533-position model. The record is from RNAcentral.